RNAcentral lists this transfer RNA (69 nucleotides) under Ovis aries (sheep). It matches the Rfam family "tRNA". Rfam says of the family: Transfer RNA (tRNA) molecules are approximately 80 nucleotides in length. The record is from Rfam by way of RNAcentral. Lineage: Eukaryota; Metazoa; Chordata; Mammalia; Artiodactyla; Bovidae.
UCCCUGGUAGCUCAGCUGGUGAAGCAUUUGCCUGCAAUGCAGGAGACCCUGGUUUGAUUCCUGGGGGAA